GCCAGGCGUGGUGCUGCACACCUGUAAUCUCAGAGACUUCGGAGGCUGAGGCAGGAGGAUUGCAGGUUCGAGGGUAGCCCCAACAGCUUAGUGAGACCCUGACUCAA
RNAcentral lists this small RNA (107 nucleotides) under Marmota monax (woodchuck). Lineage: Eukaryota; Metazoa; Chordata; Mammalia; Rodentia; Sciuridae. The record is from RNAcentral.